This 481-nucleotide ribosomal RNA is filed under the name uncultured bacterium. RNAcentral describes it as "partial 16S ribosomal RNA". It matches the Rfam family "Bacterial small subunit ribosomal RNA", at positions 28 to 507 of the family's 1533-position model. The record is from RNAcentral.
GACGAACGUUGGCGGCGUGCUUAAUACAUGCAAGUCAACUGAAGCAGUGGUAGCAAUAUCGCUGUGGAGGUGGCGCACGGGGGAGUAACACGUAGGUAAUCUGCCUUCAGGUCUGGCAUAACUCCGGGAAACCGGGGCUAAUAGCAGAUGAUGCAGCGGCUCGACAUCGAGACAGUUGUUAAAGCUAUGUCGCCUGAAGAUGAGCCUGCGUCUGAUUAGCUAGUUGGCGGGGUAACGGCCCACCAAGGCAACGAUCAGUAGCUGGUCUGAGAGGAUGAUCAGCCACACUGGAACUGAGACACGGUCCAGACUACUACGGGAGGCAGCAGUAAGGAAUAUUGCUCAAUAGGAGAAAUCCUGAAGCAGCAACGCCGCGUGAGGGACGAAGGGCUUUUGCUUGUAAACCUCUGUAGUGAGAGAAAAAAAUCCCAAUCUUUGGGACAUGAUGGUAUCUCAAAAGUAAGCCCCGGCUAACUACGUG